GCCAAAAAUCUAGCUCCCCUCAACCUGAUGAACCCCCCACAAUUCAAAUAUUUAAUAAAACAUUUUAUACAUAAAGUAUAGGCGAUAAAAAAAUGUCUAGAAGCAAUAGAGUUAGUACCGUAAGGGAAUGAUGAAAUAAUAAUGAAAAACUGCAAGCACAAAAAAGUAGAGCUACAACCUCGUACCUUUUGCAUCAUGGUCUAACGAGUCUAACCAAGCAAAAUGCACUUUAAGUUUGACCCCCCGAAACUAGGUGAGCUACUCAAAAACAGCCUUUAGGGCCAACCCGUCUCUGUUGCAAAAGAGUGGGAAGAUUCUUGAGUAGAGGUGACAGACCUAUCGAACCUAGAGAUAGCUGGUUAUUCAGAAAAAGGAUUUAAGUCCUGCCUUAAGAUUUCCCGUACAAUCGAGCACUUUUUUAACCUUAAGAGUUAUUCAAAUAAGGUACAGCCUAUUUGAAUUAGGAUACAACCUCCAUCAAUGGGUAAUAAAUUUCUUCACCAACCAAGUGGGCCUAAAAGCAGCCACCUUUAAAAAAGCGUUAAAGCUUUAUUAAUUUUCUUUAAAAAUUCCCUCAACUUUCUAUAACCCUUAACUUUGUACUGAAUAAUUUUAUAUUAAUAUAAAAACUUUUAUGUUAGAACUAGUAACAAGAAGCAGCCCUUCUCCAAAAUGUAAGUUUAAGCCAAAAUGAACAACUCAUUGGCAAUUAAAGUCAUUAAACCUCUAGUAGUAACCCCUCAAGAAAAAUCUACUAUAUUUCAACGUUAAUCUUACACUAGAACAUUUCUGGAAAGAUAAAAAGAGUGGGAAGGAACUCGGCAAACAACUUAACCCCGCCUGUUUACCAAAAACAUCGCCUCUUGAUAACCCAUAAGAGGUCCAGCCUGCCCAGUGACAAAGUUAAACGGCCGCGGUACCCUAACCGUGCAAAGGUAGCGCAAUCACUUGUUCUUUAAAUGAGGACCGGUAUGAACGGCAUCACGAGGGUUAUACUGUCUCCCCACUCAACUCAGUGAAACUGAUCUUCCCGUGAAGAAGCGGGAAUAAAAAUAUAAGACGAGAAGACCCCAUGGAGCUUAAAACUCAGAAUCAACUGCCACAUUUACAACCUCAUAACCACGCAGCCAUGACCUCUAGUUUUCGGUUGGGGUGACCGCGGAGUAAAACACAACCUCCAUGAUGAAAGGAACUAAUACCCUAAUCUAAGGGCGACAGCCCUAAGAAUUAAUACAUUAACCCAAUUGAUCCAAUCACUUGAUCAACGAACCAAGUUACCCUGGGGAUAACAGCGCAAUCCAUUUCAAGAGCUCAUAUCGACAAAUGGGUUUACGACCUCGAUGUUGGAUCAGGAUAUCCCAGUGGCGCAGCCGCUACUAACGGUUCGUUUGUUCAACGAUUA
RNAcentral lists this ribosomal RNA (1402 nucleotides) under Microhyla pulchra. RNAcentral's name for it is "partial 16S ribosomal RNA". It matches the Rfam family "Bacterial large subunit ribosomal RNA", at positions 150 to 2590 of the family's 2925-position model. The record is from RNAcentral. Lineage: Eukaryota; Metazoa; Chordata; Amphibia; Anura; Microhylidae.